RNAcentral lists this ribosomal RNA (400 nucleotides) under uncultured bacterium. Its description in RNAcentral is "bacterial SSU rRNA". It matches the Rfam family "Bacterial small subunit ribosomal RNA", at positions 355 to 757 of the family's 1533-position model. The record is from RNAcentral.
UCGAGAAUAUUCCACAAUGGGCGCAAGCCUGAUGGAGCGACGCCGCGUGCAGGAAGAAGGUCUACGGAUUGUAAACUGCUUUUUUACGGGAAGAAGCCCCGCUCUGCGGGGUUGACGGUACCGUGAGAAUAAGGGGUGGCUAACUUCGUGCCAGCAGCAGCGGUAAUACGAAGACCCCGAGUGUUAUCCGGAUUUAUUGGGCGUAAAGCGUGUGUAGGGGGUUUAGUGCGUCUCGUGUUAAAUCUCGCCGCCUAACGGUGAGCUCCCACGAGAUACGACUAGACUAGAGGGUGCGAGAGGUCUGCGGAACGCACGGUGUAGGGGUGAAAUCCGUUGAUAUCGUGCGGAACACCGAAGGCGAAGGCAGCAGACUGGCGCAUUCCUGACCUUGAGACACGAA